AUUGAACGCUGGCGGCAGGCCUAACACAUGCAAGUCGAACGGUAACAGGAAGAAGCUUGCUUCUUUGCUGACGAGUGGCGGACGGGUGAGUCAUGUCUGGGAAACUGCCUGAUGGAGGGGGAUAACUACUGGAAACGGUAGCUAAUACCGCAUAACGUCGCAAGACCAAAGAGGGGGACCUUCGGGCCUCUUGCCAUCGGAUGUGCCCAGAUGGGAUUAGCUAGUAGGUGGGGUAACGGCUCACCUAGGCGACGAUCCCUAGCUGGUCUGAGAGGAUGACCAGCCACACUGGAACUGAGACACGGUCCAGACUCCUACGGGAGGCAGCAGUGGGGAAUAUUGCACAAUGGGCGCAAGCCUGAUGCAGCCAUGCCGCGUGUAUGAAGAAGGCCUUCGGGUUGUAAAGUACUUUCAGCGGGGAGGAAGGGAGUAAAGUUAAUACCUUUACUCAUUGACGUUACCCGCAGAAGAAGCACCGGCUAACUCCGUG
RNAcentral lists this ribosomal RNA (490 nucleotides) under uncultured bacterium. RNAcentral's name for it is "partial 16S ribosomal RNA". It matches the Rfam family "Bacterial small subunit ribosomal RNA", at positions 30 to 507 of the family's 1533-position model. The record is from RNAcentral.